This 256-nucleotide ribosomal RNA is filed under the name uncultured bacterium. RNAcentral's name for it is "partial 16S ribosomal RNA". It matches the Rfam family "Bacterial small subunit ribosomal RNA", at positions 793 to 1009 of the family's 1533-position model. The record is from RNAcentral.
GUCCACGCCCUAAACGAUGGAUACUCGACAUCAGCGAUACACUGUUGGUGUCUGAGCGAAAGCAUUAAGUAUCCCACCUGGGAAGUACGACCGCAAGGUUGAAACUCAAAGGAAUUGACGGGGGCUCACACAAGCGGUGGAGCAUGUGGCUUAAUUCGAGGCUACGCGAAGAACCUUAUCCUAGACUUGACAUGUGCGAAAGCGGUAGGAAGUACUUUGCGGAAACGUUAAGGGACGGUAUCCAAUCCGGAACCUA